This 501-nucleotide ribosomal RNA is filed under the name uncultured bacterium. Its description in RNAcentral is "partial 16S ribosomal RNA". It matches the Rfam family "Bacterial small subunit ribosomal RNA", at positions 30 to 523 of the family's 1533-position model. The record is from RNAcentral.
AUUGAACGCUGGCGGCAGGCUUAACACAUGCAAGUCGAGCGGGGGAAGGUAGCUUGCUACUGGACCUAGCGGCGGACGGGUGAGUAAUGCUUAGGAAUCUGCCUAUUAGUGGGGGACAACAUCUCGAAAGUGAUGCUAAUACCGCAUACGUCCUACGGGAGAAAGCAGGGGAUCUUCGGACCUUGCGCUAAUAGAUGAGCCUAAGUCGGAUAAGCUAGUUGGUGGGGUAAAGGCCUACCAAGGCGACGAUCUGUAGCGGGUCUGAGCGGAUGAUCCGCCACACUGGGACGUAGACACCGCCAAGACUCCUGCGGGAGGCAGCAGUGGGGAAUAUUGGACAAUGGGGGGAACCCUGAUCCAGCCAUGCCGCGUGUGGGAAGAAGGCUUUAUGGUUGUAAAGCACUUUAAGCGGGGAGGGGGGUACUUUAGUUAAUACCUAGAGAUAGUUGACGUUACUCGCAGAAUAAGCACCGGUUAACUCUGUGCCAGCCGCCGCUGGAA